This is a long non-coding RNA of Xiphophorus maculatus (southern platyfish), 1460 nucleotides long. RefSeq lists it as uncharacterized. The transcript has 3 exons. The record is from RefSeq and is a predicted model, not a curated record. NCBI's taxonomy places the organism in Eukaryota, Metazoa, Chordata, Actinopteri, Cyprinodontiformes, Poeciliidae.
ACGACUCAAGCUGAAUGGUCGUUGUUGUGUACAGCUCCUUCACCUUGGGCGGAAUUGGAGUUUGACAACAUCAUCCUCACUGUACCCUCUGAUGUCGUCAGAUGUCUUGAUCAUCCCGAUAAGUUGGCGGACCUCUGGAAUGACAUCACGAAGGCCAUCGCUGACCUGGCUGCCAAAUCCCACAAAUUUUCAUGGAAAGACCAAUUUGUAGCAGACGUUCAAAUUUCACACGGUUUUAUGCAUGCAGGUUAUCCUAUAAUGGCACACCGGGGUUCUGCAAAUGGGUUGGUGGAUGUUAACCAUGUGAAGACCAACAGCAUUUGGUGUGAAAUCCAUGAGCUCGGACACAACCAGCAGCGAGGCUGCUGGGAGUUCCCUCCACACACCACUGAGUGCACAUGCAACCUGUGGUCAGUGUACUUGCAUGAAGUGGUGUUUGGGAUCAAAUGGGACAAAGUAAAGGAACACAGUGCCUAAAACAGGCUCAUUCGGCGAUAACUUCUGCAAAUCGAAAUAAACGACUCAAGGAUUAUAUCAACGGAGGCAAAAAGCUCAGCAGCAUGUGGGUGAACCUGGAGACAUACUUGCAGGUAAGAGAAUUAUAACCGCUAAAAAAUAUGGUUAUUUAACCUAAUCAAAAUUCUUAAAUACAGUAACAACUUUUCAGGAAUUAUUAAUAGGUCAAAUAUAUCUGAUGAAAAUCUUGUCAAAAGACUAUAUAAAUUUUUUUGUUGCAAUUGUAAACUGUUCCUGUUGAUUGUUCCCACAGUCACACCAGGUGUAGAGUGUGACUUUACCUCUGACUGAGUCUCAAGAUCUUCAUGCAAAGAAGAGUAAAAAUUCACUACAGUAAAAUCACGACACGGCGGCGAGAAGCUUAUAUUCUUCUUUUAAGAAUCCUUUUGUCUUAGCAGAAAACAGAGAAUUACAGACAAGGCCAAAUUUGUUAAGCAUGACAAGUAAAGAUCCUGAAAAUAAAUAACAUUUAUAUCGGUGGCAUGAUUUCACACUGAGAAGUUGGAAAAAUCCAACAUUUUGAGUGAAUCUGUUCACAGGGAAGGAAAAAUUCCACACAAAUAAAUGUCUGUUUUUAACAUAAUUACUAAUGACAGUACUUGGUGUCACUGAAAGCCCCUAAAAUAAAUAAAACUGAAGUUGUCUUGUAUUUUUAUUGUUUUUAAGUUGAUAGUGUCUAGGUAGUUCAAAGCAGUAACCCUUUGCUUUCUGUCUCAUUGGAGGCAUGAAUAAAACAAGACUCAUAGGCCCAUUUGUAGACACGUAAUAAUGCAAUAAACAGAUUAAGGGUGUUUUGUGAAGAUUUUGUAGAGAUUUGUUCACACUGCUUUACAUAAACUUCCUGCCACUGUUACACCCUGCUUUGCAUAACACACCACCAUUUUCAUUGAAAAAACAAAACAAAAACAAAAAAACACUGAAGGUGUUGACAUGGCUAUUAGAAU